RNAcentral lists this ribosomal RNA (254 nucleotides) under uncultured bacterium. Its description in RNAcentral is "partial 16S ribosomal RNA". It matches the Rfam family "Bacterial small subunit ribosomal RNA", at positions 524 to 776 of the family's 1533-position model. The record is from RNAcentral.
UACGUAGGGGGCAAGCGUUGUCCGGAAUUAUUGGGCGUAAAGAGCUCGUAGGCGGUUUGUCGCGUCUGCUGUGAAAACCUAAGGCUCAACCUUGGGCUUGCAGUGGGUACGGGCAGACUAGAGUGCGGUAGGGGGUGACUGGAAUUCCCGGUGUAGUGGUGGAAUGCGUAGAGAUCGGGAGGAACACCAGUGGCGAAAGCGACCUUCUGGGCUGCACCUGACACUCUAGUGCGAAAGCGUGGGGAGCAAACAGG